RNAcentral lists this microRNA precursor (74 nucleotides) under Ornithorhynchus anatinus (platypus). RNAcentral's name for it is "mir-1421 microRNA precursor family". It matches the Rfam family "mir-1421 microRNA precursor family". Lineage: Eukaryota; Metazoa; Chordata; Mammalia; Monotremata; Ornithorhynchidae. The record is from Rfam by way of RNAcentral.
CAGCGUGUGGAGGUCACACAUCAUGCCGUUUGAUGCUGGAAUACACUGCAUAGCGGGUGAUCUCCCUAUCCAGU